UACGUAGGAUGCAAGCGUUGUCCGGAAUUACUGGGCGUAAAGCGCACGUAGGCGGCUUGGUAUGUCGGGUGUGAAAUCCCCGGGCUCAACCUGGGAACUGCAUCCGAAACUGCCUUGCUAGAGUAUGGGAGAGGGAAGUGGAAUUCCGGUGUAGCGGUGAAAUGGCGUAGAUAUCGAAGGAACAUCAGUGGCGAAGGCGACUUCCUGGACCAAUACUGACGCUCAGGUGCGAAAGCGUGGGGAGCAAACAG
RNAcentral lists this ribosomal RNA (251 nucleotides) under uncultured bacterium. Its description in RNAcentral is "partial 16S ribosomal RNA". It matches the Rfam family "Bacterial small subunit ribosomal RNA", at positions 524 to 775 of the family's 1533-position model. The record is from RNAcentral.